GGUAAUGGAGGAGUACAUGGAGGAGAGUAUGAUAAUAGCAAAGGAAGUGGAGAAGAAGGGGGUAAUGAUGGUGGAUAUGCUGUCAAAAAUUCUAUCUCAAAGGAGAAUUGAGAAUUCCUCUUUUUCAAGUAAUGAACCCAAUAUCAUAUUAUGUUAACGAGAAAUAAAGAAAUUGGGUGAGAGAAUGUUGUGUUUUAAAUUUAUGUUGAAUUUUCUUUGAAUAAUUCGAAUCAAUAGGUACAAUGAUAAUCAAAUUUGGAUUAUGUUUGUUGUGACAAAUUGACUGUACCCUAUUUUGUUAUAUUUCUCUAUAGAUUUUUUUAUAUAUAUCCAUAUUAAUACGGGUGAUUUUGAACUGAAUCAAAUGACAUAAACAAAGAGAAAAAAAUAUUGUCUAAAAGUUUAUUUGUUAACACCUUAUAAUUCUUAGUAACUUUUUCAAUGAAUGUGUGAUAUUAUAAAAAUAAGUUGUUUCAUGGGAUUCCAAGGAUGGACAAAAGAUGCAUAAAAUACUCUAACUAAUAAAAUGUACACCAUUCCAAACGUGCUAUAUUUUAUGAUUUUCAAAGUUAAACUUUGAAACAAUCUUUUAACACCUUCUAAACACAAAUUAUUUAUCAUACAUGGUGGGCUAAUCAAGUCCAAACUAAUUAAUAGGUCAAACCCAUCAUUCCAAUUGUCUGCUACACGUAACUUAUAAAAAUUUUCAAGAUUUAGUUUGAAUAUUUUAAAUUCAAUGUUUCAAGUUUUUUUAACAAAAUUGAAAAAACUUCACCAUUUUCUUGAGAUUUUCUUAUUAUGAUUACAUCCUUUAAUUUGUUGAAUAAUUAUGUACGAUCUUGUUGCAAGAGAAUAAUAUAUAUAUAUUAUUAUAUUAUAUAUAUACAUACAUUCAUUCAUUUAGGUUUAUGUGGUUCAAAAUCUUUCUACCCUCAAUUAUACUUAAAAAGCAUUGGUUGCACUCUUCUCUUCCAAACCAUGAUAGUUUUUAGGAAAAAAAAGAAACAUGUUGAUGAAAGAGAAUUAGACUACGAUGAUCAUUCUCGUGGAUAUGAAGCGCGUGACAACGGAUAUGGGAGUGGUGGAGGAGUUGGUGGUGGCAGCGAAAAAGGUGGUUAUGGUAAUAGAGAGGUGUUCAUAAAGGAGAAUAUGAUAAUCGGAAAGGAAAUGGGGAAGAAGGAGGUUCUAAUGGUAGAUAUGCACUCAAAAUUAAUUUCAUCUAAUCAAAAGAGAAUUGGAAACUUUUUUUUAAGCAAUGAACCCAAUAUUCAUAUUAAUUGGGCAACAAAAAUAAAGAAAUUGGGUAAGAGACAACGUUGUUUUAUAAAUCUUAUAUGUCAUUAGUUUACUUUUUGGUGAAAGUAAAUAAUUUGGAUUAAGUAUGCAUUUGUAUUAGAACAAAUUGAAUCCAACCAUAUACACAUUAUUUUACUUUUUUAAUAAUAUUUUUUAUUAAAUUAGAUGGUUUUAUUUUAAAAUUAAUUGAUAAUUACGUGAAUAGUAAUAUGUAUAUCUUAUAAACAAUAAUGUUGAUCUCUUCAAUUUUUUAUAUGCAGAAUUAUCAACAUUCUCCACCUAAUGUUCUAGGUUAUUUUUGUAAUCAAAGUGUAACUCUCAGACAAAAACAAAAACGAAAAAACCAAGAAAAUAACUAAAUUUUCAUUUAAAAAGAGAAAAAAGAAUAGCAUAUCAAACAUCCAUCCAAAAUAAGCAUAAUUAAGGGAGAGGGGGCCUAUACGUCAAUUGCUUAGUCUAAACCAAGACUAACAAAUGCCUUGUCCUAUGAUAAAAUAUUUAUAUUUCAAAGAUACAUAUAUUUUCACUACAUCCAAGAUCAAGAGCCAUUGUAUUAUAACAAAAGAUUGUACAAAAGGGGAGUUGGGGAGAAACUUAGAGUCAUAAUGUUCAAAGAGAUCUAAUUAAUACUUGUAAAAUUUUAAGAGCUAAAAUUUUGUAACAGAGAUUGAGAGUGUAAUCGCAACAAAUAAUCAUACUUCAAUGGUUGAUUAAUUUAUCAAGAAAAGUUUUAAAAAAACAUUUAAUGACAGUCAACAUCAACCCUUUCACGUCAUUAAAAGAAAAUUGGAACUUUGCCCACAUUUCUUUAUUAUUUUGCUAUUAAAAAUUAAUUUUGAUUCAAUCAAUUUUUUAGUUAUCAACUACUAUUCUUAAAAAAAUAUAUAUAUAUACAAAAAUUACGAAAAAGAAAUAUUACUUCUCAAACAAGAAUCAUCUUAAAUAAUCAUCCUAUCCAUUUUAAAAAAUAUAUAUAUUUUCAAUAAAUUAAAUAAUAAAAUUAUUGAAAAUAUUUAUAAAUAUAACUAAAAUAAAACUCUAAAAUCGAUGGAGGAUGUAACUUAUGAAAGUCUAUUAGCAUCUAUCAUUAACAUAUUCUAAAAUAUUUUUGUAAAUAUAUUUUGUUUCAUUUUGCUAUACUUAAAAAUAACCUUCCACAAAUUUAAAACUCAAAUUAAUCAAAACCAAUCCCAACAAAUAUUUUGUAUAAUUUAUGCGAUGUGCAUAAAUACGCAUUUUCCCACCAUAUUUGAUAGCAAAUGGCAAAUUAUUUAAUGUUUGUUUGAAGCAAGAAUUAGGCAAAGAAGCAUAUAUCUAUAUAAUAUGUAACUAGAUCUUAUAUUAUAGUGAUGCAAAAUCGUUUCAUAAGGCACUUCAUAUCUCUCUGUCUCAUGGCAUCUUAAGUACACAAAAUGAGAAAAAGGGAAAAAGGGCCCUAAUAUAAUAUGUGUCCUUUAAUUGGUGGAAUUUUAUUUAGCAUUAUUAAUUAAUCAACCGUGUAAAAUAUGGUAGGAAGAAUUAUUCUAAUGAUGAAUGAAAAUUUUAGGUUGGGAGGUCCCAUAUAUGAAGCAUAUGAGAAAUUUUCAAUCUUAAAAGAGUGAAUUAUCAAAUUAAAUUUACAUGAACGAAAUGAUAUAUCAUUUGGUUUGUAUUAAGUUUGUUUAAGUUUAGAUGAUUUACGAAAAUAGGUUUGUUAUGUUUAGGUUGACAAAACGACACUGUAUUUAGAUGAUGGUGUAAAUUUUAACAUGUUAAACAUGUGUUUUAUCUUGGUUUAUUGUGAUCUAAUACAAAUAAAUAUCGUUAUUGAAUUUUAGGUUAUCGUGUAAAGUUGUAAAAUAUUACAAAGUGGUGCAAGUGGGAAAAUGGGAUCAAAAGGAGAGUAUUGAUAUGAUUUCGUUCCAAUUAUAACUUAUUUUUUUAGUUUAAUGAGACAUAGGAAAAAGCCUACACUUUAGUGUUUUGCCUCUUGAACUUCCUUUGAGCUAUAUAUCCAAAAUUAAUAAUGAUUUUUUAGCACGUGUCUCCUCUUUAAUGGCCUCUAAGGUACCACACUAUAGAGAAGAGCUAAUGAAUCCUUGUUUUCUAUAUAAGGAGAUGGAUCCAUGCAUUCUAAGCAUACAUUCCUAUCCAUGGCUAUUCCUAAAGUGUUGUGCAUUGGCUUUCUUCUUUUUGUGGGUUUAGGGUUAGCUUCGGCUGCCCGAACUCUUCUUGAUUAUGAUCCACGUACACGUCGCUAUGAUUACGAUCAUCCUACUCCAAGAGUAGGGUACGACCCAAGUCAUCGUGAUCAAUCCUAUGAUAGUGCAUACAGUGGAAGUUCUAGUAAAGGAUAUGGAGUUGGAGACUCUGCUCUUGGAGGUUCUGGACGAUAUGAAGGUGGUGGAGGACGUGAUUCCGGAUAUGGAGGUCGAAAUGAUGAUCAUGGUGUGGGAUAUGAAGGUCGAAAUGAUGGUCGUGGUGCUGGAUACGGAAGUCGAAAUGAUGAUCGCAGUGCUGGAUAUGGAGGUCGAAAUGAUGAUCGUGGUGCUGGAUAUGGAGGUCGAAAUGAUGAUCGUGGUGCUGGAUAUGGAGGUCGAAAUGAUGAUCACGGUGCUGGAUAUGGAAGUCGAAAUGAUGAUCAUGGUGCUGGAUAUGGAGGUCGAAAUGAUGAUCGUGGGGUUGGAUAUGGUAAUGGUGGUGGAUAUGGAAGUGUAGGAGGACAUGGUGAUGGUUAUGGUAACAAUGGUGGUGGAAGCUAUGGAGAUCGUUAUGGCCCUUCUCUUGGAGGUUCGGGAUAUGGAAGUGGAGGAAAAGGAAGUGGCAAUGGCUAUGAUGAUCAUUCUCGUGGAAAUGGAGCACGUGACAAUAACUAUGGAGAUUCUCACGGACAUGAAGGACGUGACAGUGGAUAUGGAAGUGGUGGAGGAGUUAGCGGAGGCUAUGGCAAUGGAGGAGUUCAUGGAGGGGAGCAUGAUAAUAGCAAAGGAAGUGGAGAAGAAGGGGGUAGUGAUGGUGGAUAUGCUUUCAAAAAUUCCAUCUCAAACAAGAAUUGAGAACUCUCUUUUAAGCAAUGAACCCAAUAUCAUAUUAUGUUAAAGAAAAAUAAGGAAAUUGGGUAAGAAUGAAUAAUGUUGUGUUCUAAAUGUAUGUUGAAUUUACUUCAAAUGAAUGCUAAAUUUGAAUCAAUGAAUUAUGUUUGGAUUAUGUUUGUUGUUACAAAUUGAUUCCACCUUUCUUUUUGUUUUGUUUCUCUAUACAUUUUUCUAUAUAUCCAUAUUAAUAUGGAUUGAUUUUGGACCGAAUCGAAUGACAUAAUAAUCUAUGCCAAAUAAGAGUAAAACCACAUAGCCAAGAAAAUGAUAAGAGUAAAAGGAAAAAUAGUAUGUACAAUGUAAGACAAAUAAUUGUGUCUAGGAGAAGAGGGUGUUACUCAAGCCAAUGCAUUUAACCUCGACAAGACUCAACCUCAAGUUGAGCCUAACAAAAUGUCUAGUUGGGCAUACCCUUGUCAAAAUGCAUCACUUUAAUUAAGACUAAAAUAAACAUAUAGAGAAGGGAGUUUGAGCUUGAUAGGUCGAGACCAAUCCUAGCAGAAUAUUAAACAGAACUUGCCCUUCACAUGCCUCAACCUAAGUGAGUUGAAAAGGUUAUCGUAUCGUACCUCCAAAACUCUAUUCGGACAUAACCUAACUAAUUAACUAGGUUUAUUUAAUUCUACAAAUAAAUCAUUAGAGCUCUACAGAAACAAACUCUAUUCUCACUCAAUUUCUUUGACAUUUUUCAACUCUCUCUAAAAGCCAAAUAGGCACAACCCUAAAUCCUUACAUCUUCAAACCCUGUGUUUUAAUUACUAUGGAUAAAAGAGAACACAAAUCAAAUUUUACUUUCUUAUAUUUAGAUCAUAUUUCUUUUGAAAUUCAAAGUAAUGGAUAACACAAUAUGCUUCCAUUUCUAAUUUAAAUGAAAAUUUCAACAUUCCUAAUUACUGAUUUAUUUACACAAAAUAGCCCAAAGUAAAUAACUAUAAGUGAGUUUUCUUUACUAUUAUUUUGGUGAGUGAAGAUACUAUGAGUUUUUAUAUCACUAAAAUGUGAUAAUUUUUCCAACCAUUAUUGUAUUAGCAAAUGGGAAAUAAAUUAUUUAAUAAUGUAUCUAUAAAGUGGGAAGAAUUAGGGAAACAAAAUGCAUAAUUAAAUAUGUAAAAAAACUAUAGUAAUGCUAUGUCGUUUCAGAAACCAUUUGAAGAGUUAAGGAAAAAAGAGGGGAAAAAAAGCUCUAAUAUAAUAUAUGCUCUUUAGUCCUUUUUCUUAAAAAAAAAUUAAUGCUCUUUAAUUAGUUUGAAAUAGCCAUAUAAAUUAAAUAUCUUCCUAAAAGGAAAGAUGGGUUCUCAAGAAAAAAUAUAUUUCAAUGCUUCUUUUUCUUUUUCUUUUUCUUAAUCCUUGUUGAUGAAGAGAAUUCAGGCUUAAAAAUGGAGAAUUUCAUAUUUUCUAAUAUUUUACACUUUUUUCAACCUCAUAAACAAAUUUUGAUUAAAUGGUUGUAGUAAAGAUACUUUUCUUUUUUUUUCACCAAAAACAGCUUUAUUUUAUUUUAAUCUUCUGUCAUAUUUGUAUCGAGAAAAUUAAAUAAAUACUAUUUUUUUUCAAUAUAUUUAAUUUCGUUUUAAAAUAAAGGGAAAAUCCCUAGAAAUCAUCACUUUUCUCUUCUUCUUUGAAGACCCUCUUCUUUUAUGGUAUAACUUUCAUUAGUUGUUCUUAAUAUGCUUCUUUUAACUUUAACUGUCAAAUAUAUAUAUACACAUACAACGAUAAUUUAUCCUUAAUAUCAGAUAUAAAGUUUUUUUUAUGCAUGGCUCUAAUCCAAAAGACUUCAAAAAAAAAAUUACCAAAAUGUAAAUCGAUGAUGAGAAAUUAAAAAAUUGAUAUGGCUAAUGUUUAAUAAGCUAGAUUGAUUGAUAAGUUACUCAUCCCACAAUUACUUGAUUUUGAGAUGAAACGUCAAGUUAUCUAAUAUUAUAUCGUAACUCGCGAAAACAUAAACGAACAUUCAGAUCAAAAAAAUAAAUAUUGGAGUCCAAUUCAAGAAUGAUGAACCCAAAGAGAGACAUCAUUUAUCAAUGGUGUGUAUACUAGCCAAGGAUCUUAUCAUGCUAGAAUAAUUGAGGGACCUUUUAUGUUUAUAUAUAAGAUGUAUAUGUUUCUUCUCUUAUAUUUUAUAUUGGUUUUAAGAUGUAAAGCUCAUGUUAUCUAAUAUAUGAUGUCGGUUGUUCGAAAAUUCGAUGUAAAAAUAGUAAAUAAUCGAAAGAAGCACGGAUCCCAAAAGGACAUAUCAAGGAAACCUCACACCAUGCAUCUUUAUAAGUCCCUCACACCAUGCAUUCAAAAACUAUAAUUGAGGGACCUCACACCAUGUCAUGCAUCUUUAUAACGUCAAUCAUACAUAUCUAUUAUUAAUUUCCUCUCAUAUGGCUCAUGAUAUACUACGUGUAACAAUUUUUCAUUGCCAAGAAAUUUCCAAAUUGUAAUAGUGGUAAGUUAUGAAAUGAUUUUCUUACAAAUAUCUUCAUAGAUAAAUUAAUAAUAAAACAUCAUGUGUGAACGGCAGAAUCCAAUUGACUGAAAAAUCAUUUUGGAGUAAUAUUAUCGGUUGUGAGCACAAUCCUUUGAUCUAUUUGGUGGGAAAGAAACAGUAGAACCUUUACUUGAGAAGCUAUAAUUCUUACAUUUUUAUUAAUUAUCAUAUUACUUCGUCUUUAUUUUAAAAAUAUUCAUACAAGACAUGAGAGAUUAGCAUAGGCAUUCAAAUAUCAAUACCUUUGAACAAAAAAGCUUUUCCUUGGCCCUAAAAAAGUUGUACAACAAUUAACAAAACACUCCAAUAUUAAGGUUAAUAGGAAGAAUGCCUAAACUUAACUAUAAAAAUUGUUUGGAACUACAAAACUAAGCAAACUAAGGUGGCUAAACUCAACAUGAAAAUAAAGAAGAGUAAUUUAAACUUAGAUAUUUAUUCAUGUCACCUAAACUUUUAAAGUCGUUUUUGAUUGCAUGCUCCUCUAAACUUUAUCAAAUCUUGCGAGAUCAUGUAAGGGGAAAGAUGGAAUCAACUUAGCCUUACUUUAAUUUAAUAUGUUUUAGUACCACAUGUCAACAUAAAAUAAAGAAAUUAGGUUAGAGAGAAGGUUGUGAUCUAAAUCUAAGUACAUUAAUUAAUGUCAAAUUUCAAUCCAUGUUUGAAUGAUAAACAAAUUUGGAGUAAAGAAUAUUACUCAACCAUACAUAAGUAAGACUUCAACUCUAAUUGAAAGGGGCUGACAAGUAUAGUUACUCCUAAACUGUCUACAAAUAUUAAAUAUUAUAUGAAGACAAUAAAGUUAAGGGGAGUUCGAGUCCCCUAGACCUAUACUAAAUCCGUCGGUCAUGGUGAUGGUGCACAACACUCAAUUGUUCAACACAACUAUGAUGAAUUUUUUUGUUUGUUGGGAGAGAAAACACUAAUAUGUUUUAUUUCAUUAAAAUGUGAUAUUUUUGUCCCAUGAUUAUUGUAUAGAGAAAUGGGAAAUUAUAUAUAUAGUGUAAGCUUCAAGUGGGAAUUAGGAAACACAUGCAUAAAUAUAAAGUUACGAUAAUUAUAGUAAUGCAAUGUCGUUUCAGAAGCCCAUUAUUCAUCCUCUCAAUUAUCUCAUGCAUGGUGGCUCUCAUCAAGUUGAGAAAAAGGAAAAAAAAUAGGCCUAAUAAAAUAUAUGUUCUUUGUUUCUUGGUAACCAUUGUAAAUUAAUCGUAAUAUAAAUAUCUUCUAAAAGAGAAAAAAAGAAGACUCUCAAGACAAAUUAUCAUGCUUCGUCAAUCCUCUUUUUUUUUUUUUUUUUUUUCCUCAAUCUUUAAUGAUAGAAGAAAAUUUUAGCUCAAUAAAAUUGAAAUUUUUGUAUUUUAAAAAAUUUAUGAUGUUUUUUAACACGUGUAUAUAUAUAUAAUGAACAAUAUAACAAAAUAUCACAUUAAGUUUUACUAUAUAUUUAUAAAUAUUUUUUUAAUUAAUUUUUUCACUUAAUUUAAAAAUAUUUUUUCUAUAUAAAUAUUAUUAAUAAAGAACAAUUACAUUAGCUUCUCUUUUUACGUAUAACUCUUACUUUGGAUUGAACUUUUAACUCUUGAAAAGAGCAUUAGUGAGCCAAUUAAUUCACUUUGACUACAUAACUUUCUUUAGUUGCUUAAUAUAUUUGUUUUGGUGUUAAACUAUCAUUAUAACAGAACAAUUAGGAUAGUUUUCAUUUUCGUGUAUAACGUUUUUCUAUGGUCGAUAUCUAAGGAAAUAAUCAAAAAAACAAAUGUACUUACAAUAAAUUUCAUUGUGUCAUAAAAUGAAAUUUCCAAAUUAUGUAAGUGUUAAGUUGUAAAAGUUGAUAAUCAAAUUUCAAUGUGAAAUUAUAUAUUUUGGAAAUAUCUGCACCAUAGACAAAAAUUAAUAAACAAACUUCUCAAAAUUAAGUGUGUUAAUUAUAAGAGAAUGCCUAAACUUAACUAUAAAAAAAUAAGUUGGAGCCAAAACUAAUUAGCUAAAAUAUUAAGGUGAAUUUAUCACAAAAAGUACAAACAAGUGAAGUAAGGUGGUGUUGCAUAAAGCCUACUGAUUUUCAACUUUGGCUUUCUAAAUUUGAGCUCCUCACGUUUUCACACAAAAGCUUCUCACAACCUUUGAAUAAGAUCCUCUCAAAAGAACAUCAACUACUGAUGUAUUAAACUAAUAAAGAGCCAGCCUAGUUUACUUGACUACUAGUAACAUCCUCAACAGUGACGUACAUUUAAUUUCACAAACAGUGCGUAAGGAUUAAGGUUAAACAAUCUCUCAAAACAUGCACACACAGUAUUUUUAACAGAGCUAAUUAACCCUAAAAAUAAACAAAACUCAUAAUAUAUAUGGAAGCUGAUCUUGAGCAGAUAGGAAAAAAGAUUAUCAAAAAGAAUAGAAAAACAAAUUAAAUCAGCAGGUUUAAUUUUCCCUACACGGUUCAAUAGAUUAAGAAAAAAAUCUUGAUACAAAAUUCGAAGGAGAAAUAUAGAUUUUGACAGAAAAUGUUACAAAACAAGUUGCUCAAGUUUUGCUUGUAACAAAAUCCGCCAAUCGUAGUACAGUAACACAUAAGCAACUAAAAUGACUGAUCUCAACAAGAAUGGAAACACUAGAUAUGUUACAAGAGAACAUGCAUAAAUACAGUUUGGUCUAAUUAAAAAAACAGUGUCUUAGAUAACACAAGAAGGUAGAAAAAUAGAUGAGAGAGUAAUCAAACUUAGCUGACAAAUAUGGAUAUUAAUGAAUUUCACCUGAACUUUAUAUAGUUUUUCUUUACUCUUCUCUAAAUCUUACCAAAUAUUGCAAGAUCGUGUAAGUGGACAAUGGAAUAAUCGUAAUAAUCAAUUGAAGCCUUACAUAAAAUAUCGAUGUGUUUUAGUACCAAAAUCGAACUUUAGUUAGUACCUAAUAUGACAAAAGGCCUCACUACGUAGUAUUUUGCCUCAUGGACAUCCAUGGAGAAGUUGAUGAACCCACCACUUUUUUUAAACAUAUGACACCCUCUUUACCGUGAAGGACACCAUAGAGAAGUUGAAGAGACCCUCCACCCAUUUCCUAUAUAAAGAGAUCAAUGCAUGCAUUUUCUUGGCAUUCUACUCAUUCUCUAAUUCUCUCCAUGGCUAUCCUUAGAGCACUGUGCCUUGCCUUUCUUCUCUUUGUACGGUUAGGUUUAGCUUCGGCUACUAGAACUCUUCUUGAUUAUGAUCCACGUACACUUCAAUAUGGCUAUGAUCGUCCUAGUCCAAGAGUAGGGUAUGAUCCUGGCCAUGGGGAUGAAUCCUAUGAUAAGGCAUACGGUGGAAGCUCUAGUAGAGGACAUGGAAUUGGAGACUCUGCUCUUGGAGGUUCUGGAUACGAAGGUGGUGGAAGACACGAUUAUGGAUAUGGAGAUCGACAUAAUGAUCGUGGGGUUGGAUAUGGUAAUUAUGGUGGUGGAUAUGGAGGUGUAGGAGGACAUGGUGAUGGUUAUGGUAACAAUGGUGGUGGAAGCUAUGGAGAUCGUUAUGGACCUUCUCUUGGAGGUUCAGGAUAUGGAAGUGGAGGAAAAGGAAGUGGCAAUGGCUAUGACGAUCAUUCUCGUGGAAAUGGUGCACGUGACAAUAGCUAUGGAGAUUCUCAUGGACAUGGAGGACGUGACAGUGGAUAUGGGAGUGGUGGAGGAGUUACUGGUGGCUAUGGUAAUGGAGGAGUGCAUGGAGGAGAGUAUGAUAAUAGCAAAGGAAGUGGAGAAGAAGGAGGUUAUGAUGGUGGAUAUGCUGUUAAGAACUCCAUCUCAAAGGGAAAUUGAGAAACCCUUGGCUUCUUUUUCUUAUUAUACUAUGCCAGCUAAAAUAAAAAUAUGGGGUAAGGGAUCAAGAAUAUUGUUAUCUAAAUCUAUGUUUGAGUUGCU
RNAcentral lists this long non-coding RNA (10735 nucleotides) under Cucumis sativus (cucumber). Its description in RNAcentral is "long non-coding RNA (CSAT_LNC000826)". The record is from RNAcentral. Lineage: Eukaryota; Viridiplantae; Streptophyta; Magnoliopsida; Cucurbitales; Cucurbitaceae.